This 198-nucleotide non-coding RNA is filed under the name Odoribacter laneus. RNAcentral also lists the same sequence under 1 other name. Lineage: Bacteria; Pseudomonadati; Bacteroidota; Bacteroidia; Bacteroidales; Odoribacteraceae. The record is from RNAcentral.
CUAUAUUUGCCCCACUUUGGUGAUUCGGCAGAUGAGCUUCUGCCGUUUAAUAGGGAAUCCGGUUGGAAUCCGGAACAGUGCCCGCUACUGUGAUGCCCUUUGUGAUGAAAAGUAUCUUACACCACUGUCUGCGCGUAAAGACGGGAAGGUUGCUUUUCAGGGCUUAGUCAGGAGACCUGCCAGAGUACAAUACAGCUA